GCAGGCGGUCUGUCAAGUCGGAUGUGAAAUCCCCGGGCUCAACCUGGGAACUGCAUUCGAAACUGGCAGGCUUGAGUCUUGUAGAGGGGGGUAGAAUUCCAGGUGUAGCGGUGAAAUGCGUAGAGAUCUGGAGGAAUACCGGUGGCGAAGGCGGCCCCCUGGACAAAGACUGACGCUCAGGUGCGAAAGCGUGGGGAGCAAACAGGAUUAGAUACCCUGGUAGUCCACGCCGUAAACGAUGUCUACUUGGAGGUUGUGCCCUUGAGGCGUGGCUUCCGGAGCUAACGCGUUAAGUAGACCGCCUGGGGAGUACGGCCGCAAGGUUAAAACUCAAAUGAAUUGACGGGGGCCCGCACAAGCGGUGGAGCAUGUGGUUUAAUUCGAUGCAACGCGAAGAACCUUACCUGGUCUUGACAUCCACAGAAGAAUCCAGAGAUGGAUUUGUGCCUUCGGGAACUGUGAGACAGGUGCUGCAUGGCUGUCGUCAGCUCGUGUUGUGAAAUGUUGGGUUAAGUCCCGCAACGAGCGCAAC
Molecule: ribosomal RNA, 532 nt
Filed under: Salmonella enterica subsp. enterica serovar Dublin
Lineage: Bacteria; Pseudomonadati; Pseudomonadota; Gammaproteobacteria; Enterobacterales; Enterobacteriaceae
Description: bacterial SSU rRNA
Rfam family: Bacterial small subunit ribosomal RNA
Source: RNAcentral